Molecule: ribosomal RNA, 292 nt
Filed under: uncultured bacterium
Lineage: Bacteria
Description: partial 16S ribosomal RNA
Rfam family: Bacterial small subunit ribosomal RNA
Source: RNAcentral
GUGCCAGCAGCCGCGGUAAUACGGAGGGGGCUAGCGUUGUUCGGAAUUACUGGGCGUAAAGCGCGCGUAGGCGGGCUGUUAAGUCGGGGGUGAAAUCCCGGGGCUCAACCCCGGAACUGCCUUCGAUACUGGCAGCCUAGAGGAAGGUAGAGGCUAGUGGAAUGGCGAGUGUAGAGGUGAAAUUCGUAGAUAUUCGCCGGAACACCAGUGGCGAAGGCGACUGGCUGGACCUUUUCUGACGCUGAGGUGCGAAAGCGUGGGGAGCAAACAGGAUUAGAAACCCCCGUAGUCC